This 491-nucleotide ribosomal RNA is filed under the name uncultured bacterium. RNAcentral describes it as "partial 16S ribosomal RNA". It matches the Rfam family "Bacterial small subunit ribosomal RNA", at positions 29 to 507 of the family's 1533-position model. The record is from RNAcentral.
AGUGAACGCUGGCGGUAGGCCUAACACAUGCAAGUCGAGCGGCAGCACAGUAAGAGCUUGCUCUUACGGGUGGCGAGUGGCGGACGGGUGAGGAAUACAUCGGAAUCUACUUUUUCGUGGGGAUAACGUAGGGAAACUUACGCUAAUACCGCAUACGACCUACGGGUGAAAGCAGGGGAUCUUCGGACCUUGCGCGAUUGAAUGAGCCGAUGUCGGAUUAGCUAGUUGGCGGGGUAAAGGCCCACCAAGGCGACGAUCCGUAGCUGGUCUGAGAGGAUGAUCAGCCACACUGGAACUGAGACACGGUCCAGACUCCUACGGGAGGCAGCAGUGGGGAAUAUUGGACAAUGGGCGCAAGCCUGAUCCAGCCAUACCGCGUGGGUGAAGAAGGCCUUCGGGUUGUAAAGCCCUUUUGUUGGGAAAGAAAAGCAGCAGGUUAAUACCCCGCUGUUCUGACGGUACCCAAAGAAUAAGCACCGGCUAACUUCGUG